AUGAUUUCUCCGCCAAACCCAUAACUGGUAACCCUUACUGGCUCUCUGCCAAAUCCUCACCGGCCAACUCAAUUACUCAGUUCCCACCCUUCUACGAAAACAAUCCUUACAGCUAUGCUAACUCCAACACAAAUCCAUCACCACCGUAUCUUUCUCUUCCAUAUAUAGGCCCAGGUAGAGAGAAAGAAAACAGGCGUAAAGAAAGCUUCGCCGUCUUCUUCUUCUUCUUCUUCUUCUUCUUCUUCUUCUUAUCCAGGGAGGUACGGAGCAGGCUACGCGGAGAAGAAAUGUCUGGUUGAUUCCACUUCUCUUCAGCCGCUGAAUGGUGAGAAAGAUGGCUAAGGGAAAGGGUUAAGUGCAGUAGAGCCUGAGUCUAGGGUAGCUUAUGUACAGCGAUACCUCAACUGAAAGAUCCGUAGGCAUGCUAAGGGCGUGAAGAUAGACUUUAGGUGUGUUUUACCUUUUUAUUGUGCCCUCUGUGUUGUGAGUUGUAUGAGAAGAUAGGUCAUGAAGGCUAAUGUUAUGAGUAGGAGUUGUAAUAAAUUUUGUGGCCUUGCCUUUGGGGCAACAAUAAAGAAGGUCGUUUUGAUUCCAUUGUA
Diospyros lotus (date-plum) is the source of this 599-nucleotide long non-coding RNA. RefSeq lists it as uncharacterized. The transcript has 2 exons. The record is from RefSeq and is a predicted model, not a curated record. Lineage: Eukaryota; Viridiplantae; Streptophyta; Magnoliopsida; Ericales; Ebenaceae.